RNAcentral lists this ribosomal RNA (127 nucleotides) under Silicimonas sp. Its description in RNAcentral is "partial 16S ribosomal RNA". It matches the Rfam family "Bacterial small subunit ribosomal RNA", at positions 1 to 134 of the family's 1533-position model. The record is from RNAcentral. Lineage: Bacteria; Pseudomonadati; Pseudomonadota; Alphaproteobacteria; Rhodobacterales; Paracoccaceae.
AGCUUUUCAACUUGAGAGUUUGAUCCUGGCUCAGAACGAACGCUGGCGGCAGGCCUAACACAUGCAAGUCGAGCGCACCUUCGGGUGAGCGGCGGACGGGUUAGUAACGCGUGGGAAUAUACCCAGA